This 694-nucleotide ribosomal RNA is filed under the name uncultured bacterium. Its description in RNAcentral is "bacterial SSU rRNA". It matches the Rfam family "Bacterial small subunit ribosomal RNA", at positions 32 to 715 of the family's 1533-position model. The record is from RNAcentral. RNAcentral also lists the same sequence under 1 other name.
AACGCUAGCUACAGGCUUAACACAUGCAAGUCGAGGGGCAGCAUGGUCUUAGCUUGCUAAGGCCGAUGGCGACCGGCGCACGGGUGAGUAACACGUAUCCAACCUGCCGUCUACUCUUGGACAGCCUUCUGAAAGGAAGAUUAAUACAAGAUGGCAUCAUGAGUCCGCAUGUUCACAUGAUUAAAGGUAUUCCGGUAGACGAUGGGGAUGCGUUCCAUUAGAUAGUAGGCGGGGUAACGGCCCACCUAGUCUUCGAUGGAUAGGGGUUCUGAGAGGAAGGUCCCCCACAUUGGAACUGAGACACGGUCCAAACUCCUACGGGAGGCAGCAGUGAGGAAUAUUGGUCAAUGGGCGCAGGCCUGAACCAGCCAAGUAGCGUGAAGGAUGACUGCCCUAUGGGUUGUAAACUUCUUUUAUAAAGGAAUAAAGUCGGGUAUGGAUACCCGUUUGCAUGUACUUUAUGAAUAAGGAUCGGCUAACUCCGUGCCAGCAGCCGCGGUAAUACGGAGGAUCCGAGCGUUAUCCGGAUUUAUUGGGUUUAAAGGGAGCGUAGAUGGAUGUUUAAGUCAGUUGUGAAAGUUUGCGGCUCAACCGUAAAAUUGCAGUUGAUACUGGAUAUCUUGAGUGCAGUUGAGGCAGGCGGAAUUCGUGGUGUAGCGGUGAAAUGCUUAGAUAUCACGAAGAACUCCGAUUG